RNAcentral lists this unclassified non-coding RNA (232 nucleotides) under Amphimedon queenslandica. RNAcentral's name for it is "uncharacterized LOC109587032, transcript variant X1". Lineage: Eukaryota; Metazoa; Porifera; Demospongiae; Haplosclerida; Niphatidae. The record is from RNAcentral.
CAUAGAGAUACUGUCUAAAGACUUUCUAGAAGCAGUAGAAGGGUAUAACAGAUUUAAAAGAAAUGCUAAUCAAUCACAGACUGAUGAUGAACUGUGUCCACCAACAAGUAAAAAGAAUAAACAUAAACCAUAAACUAAUAUCUUGCUAAAAGAUAUGAUGCAUGCACCCUUUUUAUCAUUUUUGAUUUCUGAUUCAUGAUAAUUAAAGUCAAACUUUUGCCACCUUUUAUAA